AACAUCGCGCACCUGCGGGAACCUGCGGAAGGAUCAUCAUUGAAAAAAAUUAUAAAGGGGGGGCUCUUUUUAUAAAUAAGAGCCUUCUCUUUCAAACAAACGAUCGCAACUAUCUAUCUAUCUAUGUGUUGAAAAUGGUUUGGUUAGAAAGAAAAAGUGGCUGCCUGAUAUAUAAAAGUGCUCAAAGAAAAGAUACAACUUUCAACAAUGGAUCU
This 215-nucleotide unclassified non-coding RNA is filed under the name soil metagenome. RNAcentral describes it as "partial contains 5.8S ribosomal RNA, internal transcribed spacer 2, and large subunit ribosomal RNA". The record is from RNAcentral.